GACGAACCGAGCAAACGUUAUUCGGAAUCACUGGGCUUAAAGGGCGCGUAGGCGGGUCAGCAAGUCAGGGGUGAAAGCCCCCAGCUCAACUGGGGAAGUGCCUUUGAUACUGUUGAUCUCGAGGGAGGUAGGGGCGUGCGGAACUUCCGGUGGAGCGGUGAAAUGCGUAGAUAUCGGAAGGAACACCGGUGGCGAAAGCGGCGCGCUGGCCCUCUUCUGACGCUGAGGCGCGAAAGCCAGGGGAGCAAACGGG
This 253-nucleotide ribosomal RNA is filed under the name uncultured bacterium. RNAcentral describes it as "partial 16S ribosomal RNA". It matches the Rfam family "Bacterial small subunit ribosomal RNA", at positions 524 to 776 of the family's 1533-position model. The record is from RNAcentral.